GAUGAACGCUGGCGGCGUGUCUAAUACAUGCAAGUCGAGCGAACAGAUGAGGAGCUUGCUCCUCUGACGUUAGCGGCGGACGGGUGAGUAACACGUGGAUAACCUACCUAUAAGACUGGGAUAACUUCGGGAAACCGGAUCUAAAACCGGAUAAUAUAUUGAACCGCAUGGUUCAAUAGUGAAAGACGGUUUUGCUGUCACUUAUAGAUGGAUCCGCGCCGCAUUAGCUAGUUGGUAAGGUAACGGCUUACCAAGGCAACGAUGCGUAGCCGACCUGAGAGGGUGAUCGGCCACACUAGAACUGAGACACGGUCCAGACUCCUACGGGAGGCAGCAGUAGGGAAUCUUCCGCAAUGGGCGAAAGCCUGACGGAGCAACGCCGCGUGAGUGAUGAAGGUCUUCGGAUCGUAAAGCUCUGUUAUUAGGGAAGAACAAAUGUGUAAGUAACUAUGCACGUCUUGACGGUACCUAAUCAAAAAGCCACGGCUAACUACGUG
RNAcentral lists this ribosomal RNA (497 nucleotides) under uncultured bacterium. RNAcentral's name for it is "partial 16S ribosomal RNA". It matches the Rfam family "Bacterial small subunit ribosomal RNA", at positions 28 to 507 of the family's 1533-position model. The record is from RNAcentral.